Molecule: long non-coding RNA, 941 nt
Organism: Cebus imitator (Panamanian white-faced capuchin)
Lineage: Eukaryota; Metazoa; Chordata; Mammalia; Primates; Cebidae
Exons: 2
Source: RefSeq, a predicted model, not a curated record
CCGGGGCUCAGGGGCUGCAGCAGACCCACCGUCCUGGCCUGUGAAGCCCGCGCGGCCGUGGGACGAUGGAGGGUGGCGGCCCGCGUGGGCAGCGCCUGAGGCUGGCGCGGGGCCUGGGACCGAAGCCUCCGGGUCAGAGUGUGCCCCACGCGGACGGCGGGCGCUGGCAGAAAGUGACUCAUGCAGAGUUUCACGAGAGCCGAGGGGCCCAGCGAGUCAGCACCCACCGCUUUCCGCGCCGCCAUGUGGGUCCUGGAGGUGCCGGGAGGGGGCCUCGGACCUUGAAGCUGGAUCCACCACGCGGUGCCCGCGGGCCCGUGAGUGACAUCACCGCGACGCUGCGCCUGGACCGAGAAUCCCCACACCCGGGACCACCUCUGAAGGCUGAGAUCAUAGGUCAAAGCCAAGAACAGAAGCUGGGGUGGGGCACACAGCUGAAAAGAGGGGCCUGAGCAUCCAGGUGGCCACCAGCAGGGGCCCCUUCAGGCCACAACGAUGCUCCCGUCGGGGUCCCCGGAAGAGGGUGGCUACAGCCACCUGGGGGAUGACUCCAGCAGAAGUCCUCUCAGUCUGCGGUCCGGGAAGACCCAAGACUCCUAAGCUGGGCACAUCAACAUCUCCACCUCAGCCGAAGACAGAAAGACCAGGCCCACCCAAGACUGCAAGCUCCGGCCUGGGGCAGCAGGGCCUGUGAGGGCUGAGGGUGGACUGAGCCAGGCCUGACCAUCAGCAGCUCGUCCCCCACCUCGGGUCCCCACCAGCACCCCGCUGUGGCCUUGGGUUUUUGAUGCUUCCAACUUUUAAAGAGAAGGUUGAAAUCUGUAAUUCUUAUGUGAAACCCUGUUUUUCUUAGCUAAUUAAAGACUUAGAAUUAGCUAGUUAAAAUUAAUUAAAAUUGAUUAAAUUUGUGCUAAUUAAAACUAACUGAAUUCUUCUCAAAA